UUUUUUUUUUUAAGAUUUUAUUUUUAUUUAUUUAUUUAUUUAUUUAUUUAUUUAUUUAUUUAUUCAUUCAUUCACGAGAGACACACACACAGAGAGAGGCAGAGACACAGGCAGAGGGAGAAGUAGGCUCCAUGGAUUUCUUUAAAAGUCGAAAUUGUAAGACUCUACCCUGGGAGGGUCUUAUUUAAUAGAUGGCAUUCGGGAAUUUAUCUUUUUCAAGACUCUCCAGUGGAUUCCAGGAGAUGCCAGGUUGGAACUGCUGAAACUCUGGUCCUGGAACUGGGCACUGCAUUUGCCUAGAGGAGGUAAGAAGGCUUCUCCAGUGUCAAUGGCGUGAUGCUCCAUGACUUAGAGAAGGAACUCAAACAUCAGAGGUUUAUCUGUCAGGGCCUAGGCAGGAAAGAAUUCAUUUCAGAUUAUUUGAAUGAAGAGUCUGUAAUGGUAGGACAGAGGUGAGAGUAGGGAUAAGAAAAAACGAAGGGGGUUAAGGUGCUCAGAGACCAACAAUGAGAGAAGGCCAUCAUCUGUCCUAGGGGAUAGGGCCCAGAGGAGGAUACAGAAGUCCUAGAGUCUAGUGAGAGCUGGAAUCCUCCUAAAUUAGGGGCUGCUUAGCAGGCGCUUUAAUUUGGAGAAAUUAGGCACAGUUACUUCUUUUUUAAUUUUUUUUAAGAUUUUAUUUAUUUAUGAGAGAGGCAGAGAUAUAGGCAGAGGGAGAAGCAGGAUUCCUGCAGGAAGGCCAAUGAGGGACUCGAUCCCAGGACCCUGGAAUCAUGACCUGAACCAAAGGCAGAUGUUCAACCCCUGAGCCACCCAGGUGUCCCAAGGCACAGCUACUUCUAAAGACACACUACAGAAGCGCAGGGUUUGAAAGAUCUACACUGAUCUCACUCUCUUCCCACCCUCUUACCUAGGCCUCCCACUGGUCAAAGUGGACAGCAAGUGAGGCAAGGCAGGAGAUGCCACAGCAAGGGCCAGCCUCUGGGGGCCAAGAGUAGGGCUAAGGAAGGCAAAGAACACAUCCAGGGAGCAGAGCAAGGUGGGAAAUGGGAGCAGAGAAUAAUCAGUCAGGAGAACAAUCAUUCCUUCAGAGUCCUGAAAUAAGAGAAAAUAGUCACCUCUUCCGGGAGUUUGAUGUUUUUCAACCCUGGAAGAAGCCAAGUCUAAGAGUAAAGGGACUGUCUGAUUGUUGGUUAUAUCAACCACAAACCUUUGUCAUGGGUGGCUUGGAGUAUGCUUUAGUGUAACAGCCAGCCUGAGCUCCUCCUCCCCCCCCCAACAAAGUCAAGCUGGAAGGUGGGGGAGGGGCGUAAAAAUCCAAGGACUGUAAUCAUUACCGAUUUAAGUUGUCGCAGUGGAGAAACCUUGCUCACUUUUCUGUAAGUUAACAUUAUUGACUGGCCAGAGGGACAUUAGUUCUCAGCAAAAUGUAUUAGAGGCGAUUAUUCUCUGUUUACCACUUAUUCUCAAUUUACCAACUAAAAGGACAAUGUAGGGGUUCCUAUCACAGAACUUUUAUGGAGCCCAUUUUCCCCUUGAAAUCUUGAAGUCUAUUAUUUGCAAGUUGUUUAAAAGCUAGCAUUUCAGUUUUCAAAGCUACAAUCGCAUUUAUUUUUUUGGUUAAGAAGCAGAAGAAAAACAACUCCCUAGGUCGAAGUUAAUCUUUUCAACUCCUUCUCCCCAAGGGAUAUAUACAUAUGCAUGUUUGCACCUCUAGACUCAGGAAACGGGUCAAGCAAUGUAACUCCACAGGUUUAGGUGACUGUAUUAAGACCUGAGUACCCUAACAGAGGCAGAAGUGCCCAGGAAGUAGAAAUUCUGAGCAGCCGUCUUUGAAAGGGUCAUUGAUCAAGUGGAGUGUGUCCAAAGGAAGGGGUGACCAGGAUGACAACAGACUUCGAGGGGGUCUGAUUGCCAUCUUCAAGCUUCUGGAGAAAUGGAAUGGCCAAUUAAAUUGUUUCAAUAGGCAGGACUAGAGCCAGUCAUUAUAGAAAAACCACUUUUACCCCACAAGGAAGAUUUUAAUUGCCUGAUUGAUUCACUGCUCCAGUGCCUGGCUCAGAGCUUGACAUAUAAAGGGUGCCCAAUAAUAUCUGUUAGACAGAUGGUAAUCUCUGAUACUGGUCGGUGGUGAAACUUGCCACUGUCAAACUAGAGAGCUAUCUGUCACUGGUUAAAGUCCAGAUGAGCAUUUGUAAGGAACACUAUAGAGGGUAUCCCUAUAACAAAAAAUUAUAUUUAUUUCAUUUCUGGAAUUGAUUGAUUCUAAAGCUAAUGCUACUAAGUUUGACUAGGACUUGGUUGGAGGUGAAAGUUAAGAAAGUCAGAGCAAGUCUAUCCUCAUUCUUGGGACCAAUUAGGAGUAGAAGAUAAAUCCCACAAAUCCUUUCAAAGUGGGGGAUAAAUGUGGCAGAGAAAUAAAAUCUGAUCUGAUUCAACAAUAAUAAAACAAAUAAUCCAAUUAAAAAUAUUACUACAGAUGCUGGAUUAUAAUGUACAUCUGAAAUGUAUAUAAUGUUAUAUACCAAUUUUACCUCAAAAUUUUUGCCAUUUAAAAAAAAAAAUGGGCCAAAAACCUUAAUAGACACCUCACCAAAAAAGAUAUACAAAUGGCAAACAAGCAUAUGAAAAGAUGAUCCACAUCAUAUGUCAUCAGGGAAAUGCAAAUUAAAAUAACAAUGGCAUACCAAUAGAAUGGCCAAAAUCCAGAACACUGACAACACCAAAUGCUCACAGGGAUGCAGAGCAACAGGAUCUCUCAUUCACUGCUGGUGACAAUGCAGAAAAAAAUAUUUUGGAAGCCGGUUUGGCAGUUUCCUAUAAAAUUAAACAUACUCUUACCAUACAAUCCAGCAGAACUGGCAAUUGCACAUCUUGGCCUUUAUCCAAAGAAGAUGAAAAUUUAUGUCCCCAUAAAAACCUCCUCACAGAUGUUUAGAGCAGGAGUUAGGGUUCAUAGUUGCCAAAACUCGGAAGCAACCAAGACGUCCUUCAACAGAUGAACGGGUAAAUAAACUGGUACAUCCAGACAAUGGACUAUUUGUUAUUCAGCACUAAAAUGAAAUGAUCUAUCAAGCCAUGAAAAGAAAUAGAAGACACUUAAAUGCAAAGUGAUAGAAGCCAAUCUGAGAAGGCUGUAUACUUUAUAGUUCCAACUAUAUGAUAUUCUGGAAAAGGCAAAACUACAGAGACAAUAAAAAAAUCAGUGGUUGCCAGGGUUGGGUGGUUGGGGAAGGAAUGACUAGAUGGAGCAUAGAGGAUUUUUAGGGCAGUGAAAAUACUUGGUACAAUACCGUAAUGAUGUAAAUAUGUCAUUAUACAAUUGUCCAAACCCACAGAAUGUAC
Molecule: long non-coding RNA, 3342 nt
Filed under: Canis lupus familiaris (dog)
Lineage: Eukaryota; Metazoa; Chordata; Mammalia; Carnivora; Canidae
Description: lncRNA (ENSCAFG00000051702.1)
Source: RNAcentral